Molecule: non-coding RNA, 342 nt
Organism: Vicia faba (fava bean)
Lineage: Eukaryota; Viridiplantae; Streptophyta; Magnoliopsida; Fabales; Fabaceae
Source: the annotation of a GenBank genome assembly
AUGACCAAUCAAGGAUCAUCUUCAACCUCUCGCUAUGCCAACACCCUAGUCUCUUCCUGUGUCCGUGUUAUCAUGUUCAGAUCACCAUAUCUUAUCUGUUUCUCAAUGAAAAUCCCAAAUCUAUACAUCAAAGUUGUAGUACUCUUAACAAGAAAUAACAUAGCAUCUUUAAUUUCCUCAAAUGGUCAAGCCAUCACACAGAAAAUGGACAUGAAAGUCACAGAUUCACAUGUUUCACAAAAUUUUCAGAGAUGCACGCAAACUCAUUUUUCACACAAAAUCCACUUCAUACCUAAUGUAUGGGCCAACUAUAUGUGUAUGAUCGUGUUCAUGAAGUCCUAA